GGAUAACCUACCCUUAGGACUGGGAUAACCCUGGGAAACUGGGGAUAAUACUAGAUAGGCAAUUUUUCCUGGAAUGGUUUUUUGUUUAAAUGUUUUUUCGCCUAAGGAUGGGUCUGCGGCCGAUUAGGUAGUUGGUUAGGUAACGGCUUACCAAGCCAUUGAUCGGUACGGGUUGUGAGAGCAAGAGCCCGGAGAUGGAACCUGAGACAAGGUUCCAGGCCCUACGGGGUGCAGCAGGCGCGAAACCUCCGCAGUGUGAGAAAUCGCGACGGGGGGAUCCCAAGUGCCAUUCUUAACGGGAUGGCUUUUCAUUAGUGUAAAGAGCUUUUGGAAUAAGGGCUGGGCAAGACCGGUGCCAGCCGCCGCGGUAACACCGGCAGCUCUAGUGGUAGCAGUUUUUAUUGGGCCUAAAGCGUCCGUAGCCGGUUUAAUAAGUCUCUGGUGAAAUCCUGUAGCUUAACUGUGGGAAUUGCUGGAGAUACUAUUAGACUUGAGACCGGGAGAGGUUAGAGGUACUCCCAGGGUAGAGGUGAAAUUCUGUAAUCCUGGGAGGACCGCCUGUUGCGAAGGCGUCUAACUGGAACGGUUCUGACGGUGAGGGACGAAAGUUAGGGGCGCGAACCGGAUUAGAUACCCGGGUAGUCCUAACUGUAAACGAUGCGGACUUGGUGUUGGGGUGGCUUUGAGCUGUUCCAGUGCCGAAAGGGAAGCUGUUAAGUCCGCCGCCUGGGAAGUACGUCGCAAGACUGAAACUUAA
This 757-nucleotide ribosomal RNA is filed under the name uncultured archaeon. RNAcentral's name for it is "bacterial SSU rRNA". It matches the Rfam family "Archaeal small subunit ribosomal RNA", at positions 102 to 859 of the family's 1478-position model. The record is from RNAcentral.